UACCGAGUGGCGGACGGGUGAGUAACGCGUGGGUAACCUGCCUCAUACAGGGGGAUAACAGUUAGAAAUGACUGCUAAUACCGCAUAAGACCACAGCACCGCAUGGUGCAGGGGUAAAAACUCCGGUGGUAUGAGAUGGACCCGCGUCUGAUUAGGUAGUUGGUGGGGUAACGGCCUACCAAGCCGACGAUCAGUAGCCGACCUGAGAGGGUGACCGGCCACAUUGGGACUGAGACACGGCCCAA
This 245-nucleotide ribosomal RNA is filed under the name uncultured bacterium. Its description in RNAcentral is "partial 16S ribosomal RNA". It matches the Rfam family "Bacterial small subunit ribosomal RNA", at positions 89 to 334 of the family's 1533-position model. The record is from RNAcentral.